This 465-nucleotide ribosomal RNA is filed under the name Vreelandella stevensii. Its description in RNAcentral is "partial 16S ribosomal RNA". It matches the Rfam family "Bacterial small subunit ribosomal RNA", at positions 338 to 795 of the family's 1533-position model. The record is from RNAcentral. Lineage: Bacteria; Pseudomonadati; Pseudomonadota; Gammaproteobacteria; Oceanospirillales; Halomonadaceae.
CCUACGGGGGGCUGCAGUGGGGAAUAUUGGACAAUGGGCGAAAGCCUGAUCCAGCCAUGCCGCGUGUGUGAAGAAGGCCUUCGGGUUGUAAAGCACUUUCAGUGGGGAAGAAAGCCUUGGGGCUAAUACCCUCGAGGAAGGACAUCACCCACAGAAGAAGCACCGGCUAACUCCGUGCCAGCAGCCGCGGUAAUACGGAGGGUGCGAGCGUUAAUCGGAAUUACUGGGCGUAAAGCGCGCGUAGGCGGUCUGAUAAGCCGGUUGUGAAAGCCCCGGGCUCAACCUGGGAACGGCAUCCGGAGAGGACAGGCAGAAGAGCAGGGGCGGAAGAUAGAGCCCCGGGGGGCGCGGGGAAGGGCGGAGGAACGGGGAGGAACACGAGGGGGGAGGGGGGCCUUGUGGACGGACCCUGACGCUGGGGUGGAAAAGAGGGGAAAGAAAACGGGAUCAGAACCCCAAUAAUUC